This is a long non-coding RNA of Triplophysa dalaica, 2273 nucleotides long. RefSeq lists it as uncharacterized. The transcript has 3 exons. The record is from RefSeq and is a predicted model, not a curated record. NCBI's taxonomy places the organism in Eukaryota, Metazoa, Chordata, Actinopteri, Cypriniformes, Nemacheilidae.
UAAAUAAUACAGAAUAUUGCUGUAAAGUGCAAUGCAUUCUGGGGUCACGUGACGGAUUAACUCAAAUGUACAGAAUAUUGCUGUAAAUUUCAAAUCUACAAUGGCGGGAUGAUCUUCAACGGUCGAGAUUGGUGUAGUGCGCAAAAUGAGUGAUUCACACAUGUGGACACACUUUGCCAUGCAGGCCACUGGAUGCUGACUACUGAAGGUUAGGUUGUGUGUGACGGUGCUCAGCACAGCUUCAUGUCUGGCCUUCCCACUCUGUUCAUAGCAUGUUACAUAUUCAAUCUUGAGUACCAGGAUGGGGCAAGCGUGUAUCUUGGAGUCCAAUGAAAGAUAUUAAUCCAGAGAGUGGAACAAGAAGAAGCAUCAUCUAAAAUGCCAGGAAACAGAAGAAACAGGUUGCAGUGAACCCACAUGUUGCCGCUCUACACAAUGAUGAAUUUUCAUUGUAAUCGAUGAAAAGUAAGAAACACACACAGACACACACACACACGCACACACGCACACGCGCACACACACACGCACACACAGAGCGACUAACAGUGAUUUAAACUCAUAAUUUGUUUAUUCAUGUCACAAACACAUAAAAUAAACACAUAAGUAGGCCGCAGUUACUAUGAUCAUGCACUUUCUGGUGUGAAAUGUUUAUUUAUUCAUGCAGUUAAUGAAUCAAUUGAGUUGACUUUCCAAGUGAUGAUUGAUCAUGAACAGCAGGUGUCAUCACUAAAGAUCAGAGUCAACUGAAGAAAUGAACAAGAACAGGAAAUAAAGACUGUAGACACACAGAUUCAUGUCAUAUAAAUACACAAUCACAUAUGCUAAUAUAAUACAUAUUUACAUGUAACUAAAUGAAACUUUUGACUUCUUUAAAUAUCAUUAGUAGAGCUUUAGUUGUAUUUAGUUUUUUCUGAUGUUGUUUUAUUGAACAAGUCAUUUAAAUUCACCAUUAUGGCGAUCAGUGUUUUAUUUAGUUGGGUACUUGUACUAAAGUCCAACUUAACCGUUUUCCCUACUUGUGAAAAGAACUGUUCUAAACAUACAUCAUGUUAAAGCAAGCAGGUGCACAGUCUUGUCUUUCUAUUGAGUAGAAGCUUAUUUAUAAUUGUUGACAAAGUCAGUAUCUGUUUAUCUUACACACCACUAUUGACAAACAUUGACAUCUCUAGCUUGACUAAAACAUUUCAUUACACUUUUAUCAUUUUCUGAUGACUUCAAGCAACAAACAAUUUAAACCACAGGCAGUAUGUCUGUUUAACUCAUUAUCAACAGCAAAAGAAACAAGUACCUCAAGUACCCCACUAAAGAGAAUCCUCAUCACACUAAUGAUGACGCCACAUCACAUCUAAAACAUUUCAAACUGCAGCUAAACCUCUAACUCUACAUGAACAUCUUUUACACUCAAACUUCUUUUAACAAGUGAUUAUCGAAACACUGUUUAAAGAUGUUUAAAGCAUCUUGAUAUUUUGUGAUAUUAAGAGACCACAUUAGUUCUACACAUAGAUCUGUUGUGUUUGCUUUACAUCAGCUGUGUAUAUAAACACUUCGUGAACAGCAGGUGUGAUCACUAAAGAUCAAUCAUCACUGUAAAGUCAACUCAAUUGAUUUAUUAACCCCAUGAAUAAAUGAACAUUUCACACCAGAAAGACUCUGCUUCAGUGUAAAUUUGUACACCCGUAGGUACAGACUCAAAGAUACACCAGCGGGUGUACAUUUAACACCAGGACUUUCCUUCGUUACUUGUGUUGGUUCGGCUGAAAGUGAUAACGCAUCGUUUCUUUGGUCUGCACCCUAAUGAGUGUUUACUGACAUCAGCUAUAAAGAACACUAUACAAUCUUGUUUCUGUAUGUAAAUGAUAUAUACGGUGUAUUCAGAGCUCCGUUUCAAGCUGCGCGGCUGUCGCUUCUGUCUUGUGGGGACGGUACGAGACACCACAACAGCCCUCAGGACAGCAGGAAAAUAAAGAGUAUUUACACUGUAGACUUUACAGUAAAUACACACACAUUAGUAGACUAUGUUGGAAACACGCUGGUAUUGUGUUGCUAAUCGUGUCUGUGAAAUAAAAAUAAACAAAUGACACGUUUAAAAACAACACUGGCCUGUGCGUGCGAGUAAAACCCAUACAUGGCAGACAAAAAUAGCCUCUGUGAAGUAUAAAGCUGAAGUGGUCAAGUAAAAGAUCUCGUGUGAUUUGACAUCAGACUUUUAAAAGUGAGAAUAACCCUUACGGAAAGAAAAUAUAUUUCCUAAUAUAUGAAUGUAAAAUAUAUAA